ACGUGGGAACGUGCCCAAAGGUACGGAACAACUCCGGGAAACUGGAGCUAAUACCGUAUGUGCCCGAGAGGGGAAAGAUUUAUCGCCUUUGGAUCGGCCCGCGUCUGAUUAGCUAGUUGGUGGGGUAAUGGCCUACCAAGGCGACGAUCAGUAGCUGGUCUGAGAGGAUGGCCAGCCACACUGGGACUGAGACACGGCCCAGACUCCUACGGGAGGCAGCAGUGGGGAAUAUUGGACAAUGGGCGCAAGCCUGAUCCAGCCAGGCCGCGUGAGUGAUGAAGGCCUUAGGGUUGUAAAGCA
Molecule: ribosomal RNA, 300 nt
Filed under: uncultured Hyphomicrobiales bacterium
Lineage: Bacteria; Pseudomonadati; Pseudomonadota; Alphaproteobacteria; Hyphomicrobiales
Description: bacterial SSU rRNA
Rfam family: Bacterial small subunit ribosomal RNA
Source: RNAcentral